This 1211-nucleotide long non-coding RNA is filed under the name Chelonus insularis. RNAcentral's name for it is "uncharacterized LOC118073018, transcript variant X2". The record is from RNAcentral. Lineage: Eukaryota; Metazoa; Arthropoda; Insecta; Hymenoptera; Braconidae.
GUCGAUUUCACUGUGACGGAGAUCAAGUAAUAGAAAGUAAAAGUCAAGAGAAUAUAAUUGUUCAUUCAUCAGGAUAGAGGUGCAUCUUGCGGCUUCUCAUUAUCAGUGCAACAGCCCUAGCGAUCGGCUGCAGGUUGUUUCACACGGCUGAAAACAUAGAAAGUAUUGCGUUUUUGUGAAGAGGUGACAGUCAAGAAACGAAAAGUGGGAUUAAUGGAUCGUAACACACCACAGAAAAGCAAUAACGACGUGACUUGGAUAAUCUGCCAUGAGACGAGAUGUCACGUCGAGACCUAAUAUCUUGGUCGGCUCACGAAUGUCGUCCAAACUAAAAUAUGUCGCCAGUCACCGAAUAAGAUCCGAUGCGGUACAUUCCAUAGGAAUUCUUGAAUUUUAGAGCCAGAGUGAGUUCUUAUAUGCGUGAUGUUUGCGAGAAAAUAAGAAAAGAAGAUAGAAGAUGAAGAAAUAAAGGAGGAGAAGAGGUAGAGAGAAUGAACCGAUCACGUUUCGACGUUUGACGGGAUUCGAUUAUUCUGUGUGUAGCUUCUUUUCCCUCUUGAGAACAUCUGCCUGCAUUCUGCAAGAAGUGCUAUCGCGUACUUGGCAAGUUGCAGGGAAGCGGAAAAGGUGAAAAACGUAUAGUCAACAUCAAAGAAUCAAGUCAACUGUGUGCGUGUUCAUGCUGGUGAUGCAGCCAAAGAGAAACAUUUCGCGAUACAAGGGACAGGACAUUUUUCAAGAGCUCCCUUGACACUAAUAAAGAUUCCAGAGUUGGUGGGCAUGUAGACGCGCCUCCUGUUGACGAACACAACAUAGUGGAGUGUCUCACUUUCUUCACAGCAUCCAUAUGUCCUUGUAAGCAAGAGCUCCUGGUGUAUCUCUUCAAGUGUCGUCGUAAUAUUGGCUAGGGAGGAUGAAAGAGAAAGGAAACAAUGUAUAAGUUUCAUUCCUGUUUAAGGUUUAAGUGAAACCAUCACACGUGAUCCUUCAAAACCACCGACAUCUCCAACUGUCAAAUGGAGAAUGUUUUCUGUUUUGAAUAGAAAAUAUUUCCUAUUAUUUACCCAUGUUAAUAAUGGGAACUUAGCUCCAAGUGGACCAGUUAUUUUGUACGCAUUUAAAUGAGCUUUUAAUUUGGUGUGACGCCAGAUAUUUGAUUUAACGAGCCGAAGCUCAAGAAGACCAAGCCCUGACUAUGAAUAAUAUUAAAG